GGAUGUGAGGGUGAUCUGGCUGUGACAUCUGCACCCCAUUGAUUGCCAGGGUUGAUUCAGCUGAUCUGGCUGGCUAGGUAGGUGUCCCCUUCCUCCCUCACUGCUCCAUGUGCGUCCUUCCCAAAGCCACGUGCUCUGUUGAAGAGGACGACCUUCCCUGAUAGAGGAGAGGACCAUUCUGCAGUCAAGGGUAUAUGAGUAGGUGUGCUCCCCUGCUAGGACCUCCAAACAAGCUCUGGAGGUCCAUAAAUAAACAUUUAUGAUCUUUAAGUUAUAAUUAGAUUUUAAAGAAAUCUGGCCCAGCAUUUCUCAAA
RNAcentral lists this small nuclear RNA (314 nucleotides) under Mustela putorius furo (domestic ferret). RNAcentral describes it as "7SK RNA (ENSMPUG00000023615.1)". It matches the Rfam family "7SK RNA". From Rfam's summary of the family: 7SK was discovered as an abundant small nuclear RNA in the mid-70s but a possible function has only recently been suggested. Two independent studies have found that 7SK RNA binds the CDK9/cyclin T complex (known as elongation factor P-TEFb). P-TEFb activates transcription by phosphorylating the C-terminal domain of RNA polymerase II. The record is from Rfam by way of RNAcentral. Lineage: Eukaryota; Metazoa; Chordata; Mammalia; Carnivora; Mustelidae.